GAUGAACGCUGGCGGCGUGCUUAACACAUGCAAGUCGAACGGAAAGGCCCAAGCUUGCUUGGGUACUCGAGUGGCGAAAGGGUGAGUAACACGUGGGUGAUCUGCCCUGCACUUCGGGAUAAGCCUGGGAAACUGGGUCUAAUACCGGAUAGGACGGUGGUUUUGAUGCCAUUGUGGAAAGUUUUUUCGGUGUGGGGUGAGCUCGCGGCCUAUCAGCUUGUUGGUGGGGUAAUGGCCUACCAAGGCGUCGACGGGUAGCCGGCCUGAGAGGGUGUACGGCCACAUUGGGACUGAGAUACGGCCCAGACUCCUACGGGAGGCAGCAGUGGGGAAUAUUGCACAAUGGGCGCAGGCCUGAUGCAGCGACGCCGCGUGGGGGAUGACGGCCUUCGGGUUGUAAACUCCUUUCGCUAGGGACGAAGCGUUUUUGUGACGGUACCUGGAGAAGAAGCACCGGCUAACUACGUG
This 468-nucleotide ribosomal RNA is filed under the name uncultured bacterium. Its description in RNAcentral is "partial 16S ribosomal RNA". It matches the Rfam family "Bacterial small subunit ribosomal RNA", at positions 28 to 507 of the family's 1533-position model. The record is from RNAcentral.